This is a long non-coding RNA of Gambusia affinis (western mosquitofish), 469 nucleotides long. RefSeq lists it as uncharacterized. The record is from RefSeq and is a predicted model, not a curated record. NCBI's taxonomy places the organism in Eukaryota, Metazoa, Chordata, Actinopteri, Cyprinodontiformes, Poeciliidae. The transcript is spliced from 2 exons.
AACGCUUUCUGAACGCCAAACCGCUAGCUCCGCCCAAUAUUAAAAGUCAUUUUAAUCCGUUCAGCUCAUUUAAUUUCAACCGAAGCGAGUUGAAAUAGAUGGAAAUGUAGAAAUGUGAAGAAGGGGAACGAAGAUGAGGAGGACUAGACGGAGGGAGAGCCGAAAAUCCGUCAUGUUUGCGCUUCUGCUAGUUUGAAAAUGCUAACCGGAAAGGAAAUUCAAGCUGUUUACGCCUGAACGGACGGUGAAACCCAGAGAGAGAGAAAGAGAGAGAGAGAACCGUUUUGAAACCAGAGGAUCCAAACAGCACAGAGAAAGUCAUGAGAUAAGAUGAUCAGAUGCUUUUUUAAUCUCUAGUUUAACUCCUGUAAUCCAGGUUACCCUGCACUGCAAAAACACAAAAUCCUACCAUGGUUUUUGUUUAGUCUAUACUUUACCUAGUGCAUUUGAAAUAAAAUGUCUUGCAGGA